This 67-nucleotide transfer RNA is filed under the name Marmota monax (woodchuck). Its description in RNAcentral is "tRNA.Ala". Lineage: Eukaryota; Metazoa; Chordata; Mammalia; Rodentia; Sciuridae. The record is from RNAcentral.
GGUUAUGGCUCAGCGGUAGAGCUCUCGCCUUGCACAUGCAAGGCCCUGAGUUUGAUCCUCAGCACCA